GACGAACGCUGGCGGCGUGCUUAACACAUGCAAGUCGAACGUGAUUUUUAUGGAAGGACCUUCGGGGACGGAAAUGAAAUGAAAGUGGCGAACGGGUGAGUAACACGUGAGCAACCUACCUUACACAGGGGGAUAGCCGUUGGAAACGACGAUUAAUACCGCAUGAGACCACAAUACUGCAUGGUAUAGGGGUCAAAGAUUUAUCGGUGUAAGAUGGGCUCGCGUCUGAUUAGCUAGUUGGAAGGGUAAAGGCCUACCAAGGCAACGAUCAGUAGCCGGUCUGAGAGGAUGAACGGCCACAUUGGAACUGAGACACGGUCCAAACUCCUACGGGAGGCAGCAGUGGGGAAUAUUGCACAAUGGGGGAAACCCUGAUGCAGCGACGCCGCGUGAGCGAAGAAGGUUUUCGAAUCGUAAAGCUCUGUCCUAUGAGAAGAUAAUGACGGUAUCAUAGGAGGAAGCCCCGGCUAAAUACGUGCCAGCAGCCGCGGUAAUACGUAUGGGGCGAGCGUUGUCCGGAAUUAUUGGGCGUAAAGGGUACGUAGGCGGCCUUUUAAGUCAGGUGUGAAAGCGUGAGGCUUAACCUCAUUAAGCACUUGAAACUGGAAGGCUUGAGUGAAGGAGAGGAAAGUGGAAUUCCUAGUGUAGCGGUGAAAUGCGUAGAUAUUAGGAGGAAUACCGGUGGCGAAGGCGACUUUCUGGACUUUUACUGACGCUCAGGUACGAAAGCGUGGGGAGCAAACAGG
Molecule: ribosomal RNA, 746 nt
Filed under: uncultured Parvimonas sp.
Lineage: Bacteria; Bacillati; Bacillota; Tissierellia; Tissierellales; Peptoniphilaceae
Description: bacterial SSU rRNA
Rfam family: Bacterial small subunit ribosomal RNA
Source: RNAcentral